Daucus carota subsp. sativus is the source of this 878-nucleotide long non-coding RNA. RefSeq lists it as uncharacterized. The record is from RefSeq and is a predicted model, not a curated record. The transcript has 3 exons. NCBI's taxonomy places the organism in Eukaryota, Viridiplantae, Streptophyta, Magnoliopsida, Apiales, Apiaceae.
ACACCGCACCCAGAACUUCCUAGAUCAAAUCAGUUUAUUUAUCAAAGUAGACUCAGAAUUCUGAUUUUUCUGCGUCACCUAUUUAAUGUGUUCUCUACAACAAAGGGUAUCAUAGUCGGAAUGGUACAUUGGCUUGUUGAUAAUAGGUGCGUAAUCGAUUUUAGAUCUGCUCUAUUAUAAGAGAUCUUCACAUCUUUGUUGUGUUAUCUGUUAAUAUGUUAUUAUUUUGUUUCUUUUGUGUUAUGUAUUUUACUAUUCUAAUAUGUACAAACCAGUCCAGCUAGUCAUUUACAUUGUUGUGCAAGAUAUAUUCGUGAAAGUUGGUCGUUUGCAUAUGCUUGUGGAUUAUGUACUGUGCAAGUCAUAUUGAAUUAUUAUACUUGUGACUGUUGUUACCUUGAAUGAGAAUGUGAAGUGGCAGAAGCAGAAGCGAUAAAUGCAUUUAUAAUUAUGUUAUGGUUAAUAUGAAACCGAAGGUUCCGACCAAAACUGUUUGUGAAGAGCAUCCGGAAUCAAGAAAAGAGAUACUAACUGUUUUGAAUCUUCAAAAACAAUACAAGGAGGCUGAAGGUUCAUCUUACCGUGAGGGCUCAUUUCCCGAUAAAUCGCAUGCUUACAGUUCUUCUAUGUAGGAACUUGACGUCUUCGCUUGGAGACCCUUGAUUAUAUCAAAGUAGUUUUUGAACUCUCAAUUAUAGUAUUUUGAUUGUUGUUGAAUUGUCGAAUAUAUGGAUGUAGUUUUUUAGAUUAGAUGGAUGUGUAGUAGUCGAUUGAUAUUGGAUUUGAUGGAUGUGUAGUAUGUGAGAUUGGAAUUUGAUGGAUGUAUAGAAUAUAAUUGGUUUAUUUCUGCAUUAAUAAGAUUUAGUUGAUUUGGUUGU